This 338-nucleotide unclassified non-coding RNA is filed under the name soil metagenome. RNAcentral describes it as "partial contains 5.8S ribosomal RNA, internal transcribed spacer 2, and large subunit ribosomal RNA". The stretch from base 1 to 120 matches the Rfam family "5.8S ribosomal RNA", at positions 35 to 154 of the family's 154-position model. The record is from RNAcentral.
GAUGAAGAACGUAGCGAAAUGCGAUAAGUAAUGUGAAUUGCAGAAUUCAGUGAAUCAUCGAAUCUUUGAACGCACAUUGCGCCCGCCAGUAUUCUGGCGGGCAUGCCUGUCCGAGCGUCAUUUCAACCAUCAAGCCCCCGGGCUUGUGUUGGGGACCUGCGGCUGCCCGCAGGCCCUGAAAACCAGUGGCGGGCUCGCUGUCACACCGAGCGUAGUAGCAAUCACCUCGCUCAGGGCGUGCUGCGGGUUCCGGCCGUUAAACAGCCUUACAAAACCCAAGGUUGACCUCGGAUCAGGUAGGAAGACCCGCUGAACUUAAGCAUAUCAAUAACGGAGGA